Daphnia carinata is the source of this 755-nucleotide long non-coding RNA. RefSeq lists it as uncharacterized. NCBI's taxonomy places the organism in Eukaryota, Metazoa, Arthropoda, Branchiopoda, Diplostraca, Daphniidae. The transcript has 4 exons. The record is from RefSeq and is a predicted model, not a curated record.
CCAAACAGUAACAUCUGUCGGGGGAAAAGUGAGGUAAGUGGAUCGCCAUCUAGUGGUCAGUACCACGGCUCGUAAUGAGUUAAAUCACAUGACAAUGCGACAGAAAAACGAAAUAAGGAUUUUAAAUCACGGUAUAAUCCUUUUUUAACGGUUUGCAAGGAAAUGAUUCGGAAAUGGAAAUUAUGUUACUGUCAAUGAUCAACAACCAUUUGUUUAGCACUAUGAACUUGCAGUUUUUCAAGAUAACUGCAAAUGGUAGUCCCAAAAUCAGAAGAAUUUUGUCUGUCAUCUUUACUACGUGAACUUUAAAAGGCCUUGUUAUACCAAAGGGCGUCCAAUGGAGAAAUUGGGCUUCAUUAACGAUUCAAACUCAUUGAUUCUAACAGCCUGGUUGCAAACUCUUAGCCAUUGCGUUGUAAUGAAUGUAUUUAUAAUCCAGUCUACAACACUUACAAAAUGCCAAGAUGGCCAUCAGUUGGUUCUCCAGUGUCGUCUAUCCCUUUAUCUUGUCUGCUUUUCCGCCUCACGAUUCCAUGCCGCUUAACACUAAACGCUCUAAAAAUAGAAUUGACGAGUUCUCUUAAAAAAUUUAUCCAUAUUUUAUGUGCGACUUUCAUUUUUGGUUGUAUAUUAAGACAAAAGAUGGCGCUGAUGGACGUAUGUUUUUUUAUGACAAGUGAAUCAGCAGUGAACUGUGAAACGGGUGUCUGAGUGUUUGUUUUAUGUGUUACAUUCCGAAGAAAAGUAUAAUAAAA